CUAGCGACUUCAGAGUUUGAUCCUGGCUCAGGAUGAACGCUGGCGGCGUGCUUAACACAUGCAAGUCGAACGGAGUUUUAAAGUGGAAGUUUUCAGAUGGAAGCUUUAAACUUAGUGGCGGACGGGUGAGUAACGCGUGGGUAACCUGCCUCACACAGGGGGAUAACACUUAGAAAUAGGUGCUAAUACCGCAUAAGCGCACAGUACCGCAUGGUACCGUGUGAAAAACUCCGGUGGUGUGAGAUGGACCCGCGUCUGAUUAGCUAGUUGGUGAGGUAACGGCCCACCAAGGCGACGAUCAGUAGCCGGCCUGAGAGGGUGAACGGCCACAUUGGGACUGAGACACGGCCCAA
Molecule: ribosomal RNA, 353 nt
Filed under: uncultured bacterium
Lineage: Bacteria
Description: bacterial SSU rRNA
Rfam family: Bacterial small subunit ribosomal RNA
Source: RNAcentral